CCUACGGGAGGCAGCAGUGAGGAAUAUUGGUCAAUGGACGAGAGCCUGAACCAGCCAAGUAGCGUGAAGGAUGACUGCCCUAUGGGUUGUAAACUUCUUUUAUAUGGGAAUAAAACAGGGUAUGCAUACCCUCUUGUAUGUACCAUAUGAAUAAGGAUCGGCUAACUCCGUGCCAGCAGCCGCGGUAAUACGGAGGAUCCGAGCGUUAUCCGGAUUUAUUGGGUUUAAAGGGAGCGUAGGUGGAUUGUUAAGUCAGUUGUGAAAGUUUGCGGCUCAACCGUAAAAUUGCAGUUGAAACUGGCAGUCUUGAGUGCGGUAGAGGUGAGCGGAAUUCGUGGUGUAGCGGUGAAAUGCUUAGAUAUCACGAAGAACUCCGAUUGCGAAAGCAGCUCACUGGACUGCAACUGACACUGAUGCUCGAAAGUGUGGGUAUCAAACAGGAUUAGAUACCCUGGUAGUC
This 460-nucleotide ribosomal RNA is filed under the name uncultured bacterium. Its description in RNAcentral is "partial 16S ribosomal RNA". It matches the Rfam family "Bacterial small subunit ribosomal RNA", at positions 338 to 795 of the family's 1533-position model. The record is from RNAcentral.